UUAGACCUGGGACACCAGGUGGGUGAUUCCCCUCUGAGUCACUGAUUUAGACCUGGGACACCAGGUGGGUGAUUCCCCUCUGAGUCACUGAUUUAGACCUGGGACACCAGGUGGGUGAUUCCCCUCUGAGUCACUGAUUUAGACCUGGGUCACCAGGUGGGUGAUUCCCCUCUAAUCAGGGACUGAUUUAGACCUGGGACACCAGGGGGGUGAUUCCCCUCUAAUCAGGUUCUGAUUUAGACCUGGGACACCAGGGGGGUGAUUCCCCUCUGAGUCACUGAUUUAGACCUGGGUCACCAGGUGGGUGAUUCCCCUCUAAUCAGGGACUGAUUUAGACCUGGGACACCAGGUGGGUGAUUCCCCUCUAAUCAGGGACUGAUUUAGACCUGGGACACCAGGUGGGUGAUUCCCCUCUAAUCAGGGACUGAUUUAGACCUGGGACACCAGGUGGGUGAUUCCCCUCUAAUCAGGGACUGAUUUAGACCUGGGACACCAGGUGGGUGAUUCCCCUCUAAUCAGGGACUGAUUUAGACCUGGGACACCAGGUGGGUGAUUCCCCUCUAAUCAGGGACUGAUUUAGACCUGGGACACCAGGUGGGUGAUUCCCCUCUGAGUCACUGAUUUAGACCUGGGACACCAGGUGGGUGAUUCCCCUCUAAUCAGGUUCUGAUUUAGACCUGGGACACCAGGUGGGUGAUUCCCCUCUGAGUCACUGAUUUAGACCUGGGACACCAGGUGGGUGAUUCCCCUCUGAGUCACUGAUUUAGACCUGGGACACCAGGUGGGUGAUUCCCCUCUAAUCAGGGCCUGAUUUAGACCUGGGACACCAGGUGGGUGAUUCCCCUCUUAUCAGGUUCUGAUUUAGACCUGGGACACCAGGUGGGUGAUUCCCCUCUAAUCAGGGACUGAUUUAGACCUGGGACACCAGGGGGGUGAUUCCCCUCUGAGUCACUGAUUUAGA
Long non-coding RNA from Oncorhynchus keta (chum salmon), 961 nucleotides. RefSeq lists it as uncharacterized. The record is from RefSeq and is a predicted model, not a curated record. The transcript has 3 exons. Lineage: Eukaryota; Metazoa; Chordata; Actinopteri; Salmoniformes; Salmonidae.